AUUGAACGCUGGCGGCAGGCCUAACACAUGCAAGUCGAGCGGAUGAAGGGAGCUUGCUCCUGGAUUCAGCGGCGGACGGGUGAGUAAUGCCUAGGAAUCUGCCUGGUAGGGGGGGAUAACGUCCGGAAACGGGCGCUAAUACCGCAUACGUCCUGAGGGAGAAAGCGGGGGAUCUUCGGACCUCACGCUAUCAGAUGAGCCUAGGUCGGAUUAGCUAGUUGGUGGGGUAAAGGCCUACCAAGGCGACGAUCGGUAACUGGUCUGAGAGGAUGAUCAGUCACACUGGAGCUGAGACACGGCCCAGACUCCGACGGGAGGCAGCAGCGGGGAAUAUUGGACAAUGGGCGAAAGCCUGAUCCAGCCACGCCGGGGGGGUGAAGAAGGUCUUCGGAUUGUAAAGCACUUUAAGGUGGGAGGAAGGGUAGUAAGUUAAUACCUGGCUGUUUUGACGUUACCAACAGAAUAAGCACCGGCUAACUUCGU
RNAcentral lists this ribosomal RNA (483 nucleotides) under uncultured bacterium. RNAcentral's name for it is "partial 16S ribosomal RNA". It matches the Rfam family "Bacterial small subunit ribosomal RNA", at positions 29 to 506 of the family's 1533-position model. The record is from RNAcentral.